AGUGAACGCUGGCGGUAUGCCUAACACAUGCAAGUCGAGCGGCAGCACAGUAAGCUUUCGCUCUUACGGGUGGCGACUGGCGGACGGGUGACGCAUACAUCAGCAUCUUCUUUUUCGUGGGUGACUACGUGGGGCAGCUUACACUACUACCUCAUAUGACCUACCGGUGGAAGCAGUGGUUCUUCGCGGCUUUGCCGAUUCAUUUAGCUGAUUCCGUGUCGCAUUAGCUAGUUGGUAAGGUAACGGCUCACCAAGGCGACGAUGCGUAGCUGAUCUGAGAGGAUGAUCAGCCACACUGGAACUGAGACACGGUCCAGACUCCUACGGGAGGCAGCAGUGGGGAAUAUUGGGCAAUGGGCGCAAGCCUGAUGCAGCCAUGCCGCGUGGGUGAAGAAGGCCUUCGGGUUGUAAAGCCCUUUUGUUGGGAAAGAAAAGCAGCAGGUUAAUACCCCGAUGUUCUGACGGUACCCAAAGAAUAAGCAACGGCUAACUUCGUG
Molecule: ribosomal RNA, 497 nt
Filed under: uncultured bacterium
Lineage: Bacteria
Description: partial 16S ribosomal RNA
Rfam family: Bacterial small subunit ribosomal RNA
Source: RNAcentral